Molecule: long non-coding RNA, 691 nt
Filed under: Setaria viridis
Lineage: Eukaryota; Viridiplantae; Streptophyta; Magnoliopsida; Poales; Poaceae
Description: long non-coding RNA (SVIR_LNC007987)
Source: RNAcentral
GGAGUUUGAUUAAGCUUGAAAAUUCAUAAUAAUAGAAGCUAUGUUUUACAUCAUAUUGUUUUCUUUUUACAAAAUUUUUAUAUGAUAAGAACAGUGUUUUUAUUGGUAAUGCAAUCAAUGAUCAUACAUCUUUGAAAAGUAUGCUUUUAUCGCCCUGAAAUAAUAGUCAUUGCAUUUAUGCCUCAGACUGCCAUACAUCAUUAACAGAAUCAACUUGGUUUAAUAUUCAGGGGGGGAUGUUAUAUUUGUGACUAAAGGUUCAUACUAUUUGAUCGAGUCUUGAUAGCUUCUCAUUGUAUAUGCAACACGUCUGAAUAUGACCAAAUUAAGGAUGUAUGCCCUGGACUGAAUAUGAUAAUAAGUUCACCUGAAUAUGAUUAAUAUGAUUUCUGAAUAUGUGUGGUAGAUAAUGUGAAGAAUAUCUGGUCCUAGGAAUACUCAUAUUUGGACAUGUUGCUGAUUGAUUCCUUUAGUUGUUUUCAGAUAGUACCAUUAUUGUCUUGGAAUCUCUGUCCUUUCUUAGGUAGAGAUAUAAUUCUCCUUUUCCUUGUUCUGUCAUGCAUACUAUUGGAAAAGCUACUAGCUGUUCAUCCAAAGAAUCGUCCAACUGCAGAAGAGGUAAUCCUUUGGUGCUCUCUUACCUUAAUUUUUCUGGUGCAUCGGUUCCAUAUAUGACAGAUGUUCCAUAUUC